This 82-nucleotide transfer RNA is filed under the name Microbacterium sp. It matches the Rfam family "tRNA". From Rfam's summary of the family: Transfer RNA (tRNA) molecules are approximately 80 nucleotides in length. Their secondary structure includes four short double-helical elements and three loops (D, anti-codon, and T loops). Lineage: Bacteria; Bacillati; Actinomycetota; Actinomycetes; Micrococcales; Microbacteriaceae. RNAcentral also lists the same sequence under 1 other name. The record is from Rfam by way of RNAcentral.
GCGGGAGUGGUGGAAUUGGCAGACACGCAGGAUUUAGGUUCCUGUGCCGAAAGGCGUGUGGGUUCAAGUCCCACCUUCCGCA